CUGCUGCCUUCCGUAGGAGUUUGGGCCGUGUCUCAGUCCCAAUGUGGCCGUUCACCCUCUCAGGCCGGCUACUGAUCGUCGCCUUGGUGGGCCGUUACCCCGCCAACCAGCUAAUCAGACGCGGGUCCAUCUUGCACCGCCGGAGUUUUUCACACUGAGCCAUGCGGCUCUGUGCGCUUAUGCGGUAUUAGCACCUAUUUCUAAGUGUUAUCCCCCGGUGCAAGGCAGGUUCCCCACGCGUUACUCACCCGUCCGCCA
Molecule: ribosomal RNA, 258 nt
Filed under: uncultured bacterium
Lineage: Bacteria
Description: partial 16S ribosomal RNA
Source: RNAcentral